AACGAACGCUGGCGGCAGGCCUAACACAUGCAAGUCGAGCGCCCCGCAAGGGGAGCGGCGGACGGGUGAGUAACGCGUGGGAACGUACCCUUUGCUACGGAAUAGCCUCGGGAAACUGGGAGUAAUACCGUAUGUGUCCUUCGGGAGAAAGAUUUAUCGGCAAGGGAUCGGCCCGCGUUGGAUUAGGUAGUUGGUGGGGUAAUGGCCUACCAAGCCGACGAUCCAUAGCUGGUUUGAGAGGAUGAUCAGCCACACUGGGACUGAGACACGGCCCAGACUCCUACGGGAGGCAGCAGUGGGGAAUCUUAGGCAAUGGGCGCAAGCCUGAUCUAGCCAUGCCGCGUGAGCGAUGAAGGCCUUAGGGUUGUAAAGCUCUUUCAGGGGGGAAGAUAAUGACUGUACCCCCAGAAGAAGCCCCGGCUAACUCCGUG
RNAcentral lists this ribosomal RNA (431 nucleotides) under uncultured bacterium. RNAcentral's name for it is "partial 16S ribosomal RNA". It matches the Rfam family "Bacterial small subunit ribosomal RNA", at positions 29 to 507 of the family's 1533-position model. The record is from RNAcentral.